AUGCCGAUGGAAUUACAUGGUAAAGCGGCGGAGCGAUCCGCAGGUUCCGGGUUCAAGUCCCGGUCGGCCUA
Molecule: transfer RNA, 71 nt
Filed under: Methylomagnum ishizawai
Lineage: Bacteria; Pseudomonadati; Pseudomonadota; Gammaproteobacteria; Methylococcales; Methylococcaceae
Description: tRNA_Pseudo_???
Source: RNAcentral